RNAcentral lists this long non-coding RNA (3244 nucleotides) under Capsicum annuum. RNAcentral describes it as "long non-coding RNA (CANN_LNC018616)". Lineage: Eukaryota; Viridiplantae; Streptophyta; Magnoliopsida; Solanales; Solanaceae. The record is from RNAcentral.
AAAAAGUCACCGCUAAAAUUUAUAAAUUUGUGGGGGUUUAAACCCCCACUAUAAAUAGAAAAAAUAGCCUAUACCAUUAAAAAAAUUUCCCUCAUUUUUUUUUCCAUUGACCAAAAUUUUUCCUCAUUUUUUAAUUCACCUUCCAUUCCCCCAAAAUCUCCCUCUCUCUCACAUUCCCCCAAAUCAACUUUCACUGUGUUAACCCAAAAAAAAAAAAUUAACUCAAGGUCAAUUGAUACGCCGACCAAUCGACUCCAGUCAUUUUUCCUCGAAAUUAACUCCGUCGGCCGGCCAUUGGAAUUGUGCUGAACUCUGAAAUUGUAAGAAUCACUUGUUGUGUUGUUGUUGUUCUUAUAAUAUUGUUGUUCAUAUUCUGUUGAUUAUCUUCUUGUUGUUAAUAUAGUUUGGGUGGUUGAUUUGGUGUUCAAAACACCUUGUGGAUGCAUCACAAUGACAAAAUUAGUCUUGAGUUUAGAUGCAUUAUGCUUUUAGAUCUACAAAUUAACUUGCAUUUCAUUCAACAUGGAAUCGAAAUACUAGAGAAUAAUAGCUAAAUAGAGUAGAAAUUAGGCAUUUCAAGUACAUUUUGCAAAAUGGUGGUUCCUGAGUUGAAGUAACAAGCUUAAUUAGAGUGAGAAAUGAUGAGAUACCCAUAGAUUUACAGUGUGACUAGCAUUUCUCUGAAAAAUGGAACAAAAAUGGUAGAGAAAAAGAGCAAAAUGGAGUAUAAAUUGAGCAUUUCAAGUACAUUUAGUAAAGAAGAACUGACAAGCUUAAUUAGAGCGAGAAAUAGUGAAAUAAUCAUAGAUUUACUAAGUAACUUGCAUUUCUUUGAAAAAUGAAACAAAAAUUCUAGAAAAACAACAAAAAAGAGUAGAAUUGGAGCAUUUCAAGCAUAUUAAAUACAUAAGAAUAAGGAGAAACCCCCUCAAUUUUAGGGAAAACAGAUCACAAAUUGAGUAGAACUGGAGCAUUUCAGGUACAUUGUUUAUAGAAAAAGACGGAGAAACAAAAAACACCAAGAAAAAUGGUAGUUAGUGAGUUACAAGUAGAAGGUUACAAUUUACAAGGGAAAUGAUGACAUACCCAUAGUACCAGAGGCAUCACUGCCACCAUAGAAAGUAGCAUGAGCACUCUGUCAUGCUCCACCAGUAUAAAUACCUGGAAUUCUUCCUGUUAUUGUUAGUCGUGUUGUGUAGUUGUUAGGGGCAUGUUUUGUGCUUGAGUUGCGGACUGUUUUAGGACUGUUUUGGUGCAUUCCAAGUUUGUAGUCAUGUAUCUAAAAAGAUUUUUGUAGUUGUUAAAAAGAUGAAACUCUUCCGUACUUUCUCAAAGUUUGUUGAUGAUUUUAGCCGAGCGAGCUUCAUCUCUCUAUGUAGCUGUUAGUUCUACCAACAAAUCAUGUUGUCGUGAUUAAGAUAUUACUGUACAUUGUAUUCAAAUUUCCCUUUAUUUUUUCACAGACGUAUGAGGAGUAUCUUGAAGCUCAUAGCAGACGCAACAAAAGAUCGAACCAGCCUGUUAGUACUCUUUUGACAUUUUUCUUGUUAUAUAUUCCUUUAUUAUAGAUAAACCCAUGAAUCAUGUUAUUUUGGGUUGGAUUUUGCAACAAUUGUAAAGCGUGUCUCUAUUUCAGAAAAUUCUAUUCUGCUUUCUUUCUGUAUUGCGAAAAGUAUUUAGCUUUUAUUUUUCUUCUCUAGCAUAAUUAAGUAGUUCCAUUUAUGUAUUUACGCCCAUAUUUUGUGAGUGCCCUUAUUCAAUAUAUGUAUCCAUCAGUUGAACCUUCAUAUGUACGAAUCAAAAGCGCCUAAGUACUUCACAAAGAUCCCUUCUUCGAGUCAAACUCUUCUUCUUACAUUUUUCAUUUUUUUCGUGAUUCAUGUGACACACUUUACUUUUAUUUCCUUACCUGAUCAGGUAUUUGUUUGUAUAUAUCAUGCAUAGGUAGAAAGUAUUUUUCACGUCUGUUUCAUGCUUAGUUUAAUCAUCAUUCAAAAAUUGAAGUUCUUUAAUUUAUACUACUGUUUUUAUUUACUUACUUUAGUGAGUUAUUAUUUAUUUUUAUUAGUAUACUACUUCCACAUGAGUAAGGCCUAGAAGAUUUCUGUGGAAAAUCUUUAAUUCUUCAUCUUUUUAGUAAGUCAAAUUUCUUUCUUACGAUUUAAAUUUACAUGAAUUCAUGUGAUCUCUAUAAUCUCUUGAAUAAAAUAUUUAACAUUUAUUUGACUAUCACAUGAAACCCUUCAUCGUCUAAACAUCAUUGUUGUAUUUCCAAUUACUGAUUCGGAAUACGACUAAAAUUUCAUUAAAGCAGCUUUUAAUUAUCUAUUAUAUAGUAGUGAAACACAUUGACAGGCAAGUUGUUUGUUGUUUGUGACCUUCCUCGCUAUUAACACACACAACAAAAUCAGGUAAUUCUUAGACUACAAUUAUUUAUCCUAAUAUUCUCUCACGCUUUAUUUUGUUCCUCAAACCUUGAAUUUCUAUUCUUCAUAUGGUAAGAGAAAGGCUGGUCGUUGGGUGUAGAAAAUAGUUUUUUCUUUUUAAAUUUUUUAUAUAGGUUUAAGAUAAAUUUUCUUAAUUAUAAAAGAAUUUCUUCAAAAUGUUCUCCAUGUGCAUGUAGUAUAUCAUUAGUGUUUUAAACGAUCAUGUUCUCUUUUAUGAAUUCUUGCACAAAUUAACUUGAAUAUUGUUAACGUGUAUCCCAUAUAGAUAUAGUAUUGGUAUUGACUAAUAAAAUGUCACGUCUCUAUCUUUGUCAGUUCUUAAUUAUAUGGACUUAUAAAGUGAGACUUUUUAUGCUUACUUAAUCAUGAAACUAAAUCAUAUUAUAUAUUUUAAAAGACAAUCAAAACAAAUAUAUGGUACUCUUAGAACGAUACCACACACUAUGGCAUGGGUAACUACCAGCCAAACAAAGUGUUAAAGGUAAAAACCUUGUCAUCCAAGUAAGAGAUUACCUAAAUAUACAAAAAAAUAUUUUUUAAAAUUGUGAAAAAUAAAAAUCAACUAUGGUAUCAAAUUAUGUGGUGGUGUUUUAUUUUAUUUCUUGGCUUGAAUUUUAAGAUCUUCACCUACAUACAUUGAAUUUGAAGACUUCUACCGUGAUAUUGAUUCGUUGGAUUUUUUUUUCCUUUUGUAACAUAAAAUAAUAUUGGUAAAUACAAAUCCUAAAACCCAAAUAUUAUUAACCAUCGUUCUUUUCCUUUUAUUUGCUAGGACAAUGCUGCUCGCAGAACGAAAG